UAGGAAGGGCAUCAUGCUGUAGUGAUCUGUUCCAGCUCUUCGUUGAACCUUUUGCAUUAAUCUUUUGCAUUGCAGAAGUGGUGCACAACCUUUGCAUUUAAAUGGUCAUUCAAAGCAUUACUCCUUAGCGACUCAUCUAUGCGUGGCAGCUUCAGAGUAAAGCGUCAAUAUCGUAUCAACUCCUCUGAGGUAUUUGAUGAAGGAAUUUGUGACCUUAACAACAGUUGAGAAUGAGUACUCGAGAGCAAUGCUAGGUAAGUAACCAGGCAAAGGUUCCGGGCAAUCAGUUCCAGAUUGAAAGUUUGAUUUCAGGUUUCGACUGAUUGCGUUUUUUCUCCUUAUCUUGCAGGUAAGAGCAAGGGCAAAGGAAAAGACAAGGAAAAAGCAUGAUAUGGGAUACUAAGAGCAAAGGCAAAGGAAAAGACAGGGAAAAAGCAUGAUAUGGGAUACUCUUGCUUUUGACCCUGAUGAUAUGAGAUAUUCUUGCUCUGGUGUGGCUA
RNAcentral lists this long non-coding RNA (500 nucleotides) under Malus domestica (apple). RNAcentral's name for it is "long non-coding RNA (MDOM_LNC003921)". The record is from RNAcentral. Lineage: Eukaryota; Viridiplantae; Streptophyta; Magnoliopsida; Rosales; Rosaceae.